Molecule: ribosomal RNA, 383 nt
Filed under: uncultured eukaryote
Lineage: Eukaryota
Description: partial 18S ribosomal RNA
Rfam family: Eukaryotic small subunit ribosomal RNA
Source: RNAcentral
CAAUAGCGUAUAUUAAAGUUGUUGCGGUUAAAAAGCUCGUAGUUGGAUCUCGGCAGGCAGGGGGUGGUUCGCUCUUAGCGCUACUGCCCCAUUUGCCUGUGUGAUUGGCGGAGGUUUCGGGGUGCUCUUCGUUGAGCGACCCGGGGCGCCGUCAGGUUUACUUUGAAAAAAUUAGAGUGCUCAAAGCAGGCUUUUCACGCUUGAAUAUUCGUGCAUGGAAUAAUGGAAUAGGAACUCGUUUCUAUUUUGUUGGUUUUCGGAAAUCGAGUUAAUGAUUAAUAGGGACAAUUGGGGGCAUUAGUAUUCAGACGACAGAGGUGAAAUUCUUGGACCGUCUGAAGACUAACUACUGCGAAAGCAUUUGCCAAGAGUGUUUUCAUUAA